CAGAGGCCCCAAGCGUUGUUCGGAUUUACUGGGCGUAAAGGGUGUGUAGGGGGUUAGGUUAGUCUGACGUGAAAUACCGUUGCUCAACAACGGAACUGCGUCGGAUACUGCCUAGCUAGAGGUUCGGAGAUGAGGGCGGAAUUCUCGGUGUAGCGGUGAAAUGCGUAGAUAUCGAGAGGAACGCCGAUGGCGAAAGCAGCCCUCAAGACGAAAUCUGACCCUGAAACACGAAGGCCAGGGGAGCAAACGGGAUUAGAUACCCCGGUAGUCCUGGCAGUAAACGGUGCUCAUUAGAUGUAGGCGGAUUCGACCCCGCCUGUGUCGAACCUAACGGAUUAAAUGAGCCGCCUGGGAAGUACGGUCGCAAGAUUA
This 372-nucleotide ribosomal RNA is filed under the name uncultured prokaryote. RNAcentral's name for it is "bacterial SSU rRNA". It matches the Rfam family "Bacterial small subunit ribosomal RNA", at positions 526 to 896 of the family's 1533-position model. The record is from RNAcentral.